UCGUGGGGCAGCAUGACUGUAGCAAUACAGUUGAUGGCGACCGGCAAACGGGUGCGGAACACGUACACAACCUUCCUUUUAGUGGAGAAUAGCCCAGGGAAACUUGGAUUAAUACUCCGUAACAUAUAAAAGUGGCAUCACUUUUAUAUUAUAGCAGCAAUGCGCUAGAAGAUGGGUGUGCGGCUGAUUAGAUAGUUGGCGGGGUAACGGCCCACCAAGUCGACGAUCAGUAACUGGUGUGAGAGCACGACCAGUCACACGGGCACUGAGACACGGGCCCGACUCCUACGGGAGGCAGCAGUAAGGAAUAUUGGUCAAUGGACGCAAGUCUGAACCAGCCAUGCCGCGUGGAGGAUGAAGGUCCUCUGGAUUGUAAACUUCUUUUAUUUGGGAAGAAACCCAUCUUUUCUAAGAUGGCUGACGGUACCAGAUGAAUAAGCACCGGCUAACUCCGUGCCAGCAGCCGCGGUAAUACGGAGGGUGCAAGCGUUAUCCGGAUUCACUGGGUUUAAAGGGUGCGUAGGUGGGCAAGUAAGUCAGUGGUGAAAUCUCCGGGCUUAACCCGGAAACUGCCAUUGAUACUAUUUGUCUUGAAUACUGUGGAGGUCAGCGGAAUAUGUCAUGUAGCGGUGAAAUGCUUAGAUAUGACAUAGAACACCAAUUGCGAAGGCAGCUGGCUACACAAAUAUUGACACUGAGGCACGAAAGCGUGGGGAUCAAACAGGAUUAGAUACCCUGGUAGUCCACGCCCUAAACUAUGGAUACUCGACAUUUGCGAUAAACUGCAAGUGUCUGAGCGAAAGCAUUAA
RNAcentral lists this ribosomal RNA (809 nucleotides) under uncultured Sphingobacteriales cum 'Crenotrichaceae' bacterium. RNAcentral's name for it is "bacterial SSU rRNA". It matches the Rfam family "Bacterial small subunit ribosomal RNA", at positions 62 to 863 of the family's 1533-position model. Lineage: Bacteria; Pseudomonadati; Bacteroidota; Sphingobacteriia; Sphingobacteriales. The record is from RNAcentral.